This 336-nucleotide long non-coding RNA is filed under the name Phasianus colchicus (ring-necked pheasant). Its description in RNAcentral is "lncRNA (ENSPCLG00000002369.1)". Lineage: Eukaryota; Metazoa; Chordata; Aves; Galliformes; Phasianidae. The record is from RNAcentral.
AAAGAAAUGAACAUUUCUGAUAAACUUAUUUGUCAUUGCUUGCAGAACACCUUGUGGAGAAAAGCAAGAAAUAUGGGAUCUUAUGCUGUCCAUGGAGACACCACACACUGUGAAGGAUAAGGCUUUCCUGGGCAACAAAGCACCAGGAGAAAUACAGCAGGGUGUCAAACUCUGUUCCAGCCUGGAGACUGGAUGCGCUGCUGCCCUCUAACUCGGCCCACCUCCUGGAGACCACCUCCUGAAUGAAGAAAUUGCCUGAACCCUGACUACUCUUUGUAGAAAGAGACUACUACAAGUACAGUGGAAAUAAAGCAUCCUGCAGAAGGACUAUACCCA